CCUUAGAGACCAACUAAGUUUGUUCUUGGUAUAAGCUUUCGUGUACAUGCACAUGAAAGCUUAUACCAAGAACAAACUUAGUUGGUCUCUAAGG
This is a non-coding RNA of Podarcis lilfordi (Lilford's wall lizard), 94 nucleotides long. The record is from the annotation of a GenBank genome assembly. NCBI's taxonomy places the organism in Eukaryota, Metazoa, Chordata, Lepidosauria, Squamata, Lacertidae.